GACAGAGAGUGCAAGCGUUAUUCGGCUUUAUUGGGCGUAAAGGGUAUGUAGGCGGUCUUUUAUAAAUUAGUGUGAAAAACUAGAGUAAUAACUGUAGGAAAAUACUUUAUGAUUAUUAGACAAGUGUUAGUUUUAAGUUAGAGGUAUUUUUUGUGUAAUACAAUAGAAUGUGAUUAUAUACGAAGGACCACCAACAGUGAAGACAUCUUUCUAAAACUAACUUACGCUGAGGUACGAAGACAUGGGGAGCAAACAGG
Molecule: ribosomal RNA, 257 nt
Filed under: uncultured bacterium
Lineage: Bacteria
Description: partial 16S ribosomal RNA
Rfam family: Bacterial small subunit ribosomal RNA
Source: RNAcentral